Molecule: long non-coding RNA, 2077 nt
Organism: Mirounga angustirostris (Northern elephant seal)
Lineage: Eukaryota; Metazoa; Chordata; Mammalia; Carnivora; Phocidae
Exons: 3
Source: RefSeq, a predicted model, not a curated record
AUCUUAAGCAGGCUCCACACCCAGCGUGGGCCCGAGGCGGGGUUCCAUCUCAUGACCCUGAGAUCAUGACCCUGAGCAGAAAUCAAAAGCUGGAUGCUUAACUGACUGAGCCACCUAGGAGCCCCUGCUUUGGUACUUUUUAAAUUAAGUUUGACAAAGAACAUCUUCAUAGCCAUCAGACAUUGAACUGUUUUAUGAAUCCUGGUAAAGUGAAUACAAGUCAUUCAAAUACAAUAUUGAAUUCACUGCUUUGCAGAAACUAACCUUCAGUUGUAUUGAGUAAAUUAUAAAUGUUAUACAGGAUGUGGACUUAGAGAUCUAAAUGUACCUAGGCAAUAUAAUGAUGAAAUCAGCGUCUGACUCUUCGAUCAAAUGCUAAGAUCAGUAUUUUCGAUGAGAGAGUAUAACAUCUCUCAAACAAUUCAGAACUCUACUUGUCAUUUUAUUUAAUCAUUUGUAAAUCAUAUAUAUGUUAGUGUAUAUAAAAUGCAAUAAAUAAUCUAUAUUACAUUUUUUGUACAUUAUACAUAUGAAGACUAAGGAAAAAGUUUAGGGCAAAAGUUUCUAAUUGCAGUGUAGUUUAAGGAAAUAUGCUGUGUAUUUAUAUCUUUAGAUAAAUAGUGGCAGAAAAGUAAAAAAGAAAAAUAGGCGAGAGUGUAGACAGACAAAAAAAUGUGUACUCUAGUGUAUAAGAACAUAACAGAGCUAACUGACGAAUGUAAAUUUAAACAGUGAGACAGAGUGGGGUAAAGGAGGCAAUAGCUCUAGUUUGGGAGAAUCAUACAGUUAUUAUCAUUGUAUCCCUGGCUUUAGUGAGCUUAUUGAGAAUGAAUUGGGUAACAAUGCAUACUCUGCCAGCCCUGGGUACAAAUUCUAAUGCUACCAUUUACUAGCUGUGUGAGUUACUCAACCUUUAUGAGACUAAAAUUUCUCAUCAGUUCAACAGACCAGAAAACCUGUUUGUUAAUUAUCUUGAUACAAUCUAAGUAAUGGAUCCUUAAGCCAAGACAGUCUCAAGUUGUAGUGGUAAAUAAGAAAAACUUGUCUUUGUUAUAGUUGCUAGAGCAUUUGUCCUCAGAACUGGACUUCAUGGCAGGAAAAACUGGAGAAAAAUGCAAAAUCAGUCCAGACCCAAAGAACUGUGAGGAUGGUUGACCUUGUUUGUAACUGUCUCUCUCUCCAAAAAAGGGCUAAGAGUACGAUGUCCUUCCGGCUAAAAUAUUUGCAAUUGCAUUACUGUAUAAUUUAACUUCUAUCCAAUUUUAAUAAUGAAGCAGAGGAGAAAAUAUUGCUGCACUAAAUUACCUGCUCCCUACUCAGAUUUGAAUGUUUAAUAACCCAGUCAAUGGCAAAGCAAUUAUAAACGUCUGCAAAUAAAAAUAAUUCCUAUUCCUGGUGUGCAAACAUAUGUAUCUGCCUCCUUUACUAGUUACACAGAAGUCUGAAAAAAGACUUGGGAGCUCUUUGUCACCCCCCAUUGUCCUCACAGUGUACUAAAAUCAGGUAUCCUUAUCUUAUAAUAUGAUUCAUUGCUGUGAAUUUGGGGUUCGGAUAUAGCACCACGGCGGACAGGGGAACAACCCGCGGCGAACGGAGACGGUCCACAGGGCGGCCCCAUGGCUGUGCGCUCUGCGGCGUAGAACCACACCAGGUGCUCACCAGGGCCCCCCGCUUCGUUUAAUGCUCUGCUCCCGAAGUUCCUCGUAAUUCUCUCUUUGUUUUUUGUUUGGCAAAUGAAAUCCUGUGGGACGACGGCGCAUGUGUGUGAGCAGAGGAGAUGCACAUGGCAUUUGCGUCAGCUGUUCCUUGCUGAUCCAUUUGCAUAUGGCACGCCACAUGUCCCCGGAGCACAGAAUCUGGGGGACUCUCCAUGCGUGAGAAUUCUGCAUACAAGGCGAAUAUUCAGAUUUGCAUUUAAAGCUGCUAUUGCUCUCUAUAAAGGUAUCAUUCAUUAAAAAUUGGAAGUGCCAUCCACAAGAAGCUUUUGUAGAUCCAUAGACCUGCUGCCCUCCUUACUUUUACUGCCUUGUGAUCCUCACUCAAAGCCUCAGCAGCCUGCGGCCAGGAAACAGACACA